CGCACGGGUGAGUAACACGUGAGUGACCUGCCUUUUAGACUGGAACAACUUACCGAAAGGUGAGCUAAUGCCGGAUGAGUUAUAUAAGUGCAUGUUUAUAUAGGAAAAGUUGGGGAGACCUGACGCUGAAAGAUGGACUCGCGUCCCAUUAGCUAGUUGGUAGGGUAAUGGCCUACCAAGGCGACGAUGGGUAGCCGGCCUGAGAGGGUGGCCGGCCACACUGGGACUGAGACACGGCCCGGACUCCUACGGGAGGCAGCAG
Molecule: ribosomal RNA, 262 nt
Filed under: uncultured bacterium
Lineage: Bacteria
Description: partial 16S ribosomal RNA
Rfam family: Bacterial small subunit ribosomal RNA
Source: RNAcentral